Molecule: long non-coding RNA, 1866 nt
Filed under: Triticum aestivum (bread wheat)
Lineage: Eukaryota; Viridiplantae; Streptophyta; Magnoliopsida; Poales; Poaceae
Description: long non-coding RNA (TAES_LNC016010)
Source: RNAcentral
GGUGUCUGUGUGGUACCUACACCAGCAUUUUCCAUCAAGACCUCCAGAAAGAGAGAUCAUCUCAAGGUGAAAAUACGAAAUCCUUUUACUGCUCUCUUUAUUGUCUCACUCGAUUCAUAUUAUUAUAUGUACACAAAUCCAUGUCAUCCUGAAUUUGUUACACCGGUGCGGGAGCAAAAAAACAGAUGCACAAGUUCAUCUUUUGUGACACUCAGUUCGAAUUCUGAUUUUAGUUCAGUGCAAUUCUUAUUUCAUGUUCAGUUCAUUUUCUUAUUUUAGUAUGGUGCCUUAUUGAGUUUCUACUCUUCUGAAUUUUGGUUACCACACCCCUAUCUGGUGGUUCAGAUAUUCAGUUUUGAGAAGUACUGAGAAUAAAAAUUAAAAGCUCGUCCAUCAAAAAGGUUCACAUAGCAUCAUACUGUUUCACAUGGUAUUGUCCAGUAAGUACAUAAGUCGUGCUCUUAUUUGCAGAUCAUGCAAGUUCAACUAUAUAACCGCAUGCAUGUCUCCCUUAGUCCGACUAUUGUUGCUGCUUCAAAUCACAAAAUUUGAUUCAGCCAGUAAGUUGGUGCUAGUGGAUCAAGUCCAGAUCAACUAUUUUUAUGUUGGUUGUUACAAUAUUGUUUGAGUGAAGAACUGCAUGGAAGUAUAGCAUAAUGUAGGAGCUUUGAUUUACAAAAAAUAAGGCACCACCACCAGCCCGUCCACCACGGUUGCUGGCAGCCGUCCAAGUUGAGCGCUGAUGGUAGUCCUCUGCGUGCAUCAACGGCACUCUCUCACUAUCGCCGCCUAGCCCGCGCCCGCAGCCAUCCACCUCACCUCCCGGACAUCACCGCCAAAAGCCUCUCUCCGCCACCACGCCUGGUAGUUGAACUUACACGGGAUGACAUGUGACCAACUGCCCCGCCUCUACAAGCUUCUCAGGGAUGACUUGGUAGUUACUGGGAUUCCCUGUAGUCGCCAAAGCGCGGCGUGCUCGUGAUCUCCGCCUCCAUCAGCUCCACUUUACCAAAGCAAUCAGUCCAGAGGAGGAGGUGUAGCCAGUCCACCCGAUCUCCAACGUCUUAUUCCACCUACAAAAAAUUUCUUUUUGAGUUCUAUUCUUCAUCACAGGUUCACAGCUAUUACCUCAGUUCAAAAGUGCCAAAAAGUUUAGUUCAGACUAUACUAAAUGUUCAUAUUGUAGAUAAUAUUUGCAUUGUCUUAAAUUUUUGGAAAUAAGCUUCAGUACAAGAAAAAUGGGUCAGUCAGUUCAUCCAUAUCCACACCCCGUCGACGUGCGGCGGCAGGAAACAUUUCCAGGUUGUUUUCUUUCUCUCUUUGCUUAGCACAAAAGUGCGCAAAUGCCUAGCAGAAAUAGAACUUGUUCGUAUAAAUGGGUAGGUUCAUGAAAAUUUGUAUUAGUAGUUCGGUGAAAGGAUUCACAUCAGUUCAAAACAUUUUUGAAUAUUCAGUAAAUGUUCAAAUAGACCAGAGGCUUUCUCCUCAUUCGAAAAGCCUAAAGCAACAGUACAGUGAUAGAAAAAAAUCAAUUCAACAAAACAUGCUGGAGGUUUGUCGGAAUGACAGAAAAACAUCAGUUCAAUUUUUCUGUACCAUCGCUUUUAUUGCUAAAUGUUUUAGUCACUUGUUUUCUUGAUGCCAUCAGGUAUUGCUUAAAUACUUCGGUCUUGUGCCGCUGGUACUAGUGUGGAUGGGUAGCAAGUUCAACUACCAAUCCACACCAAGUUCAGGCAUGUUGCAUGUUUUCCACACGUUCCUAGAAGUUGUUCUAGGAUUGGAAAGCUAGCAGCAGCACUCUUGUUUUCACUAUUUAAGUUCACCUCAAUUUCUAAUUUAAGUUCUGUUCAUCGGAGUGCUUGUAAU